RNAcentral lists this transfer RNA (76 nucleotides) under Candidatus Vesicomyosocius endoextente. RNAcentral's name for it is "tRNA-Ala". It matches the Rfam family "tRNA". Rfam says of the family: Transfer RNA (tRNA) molecules are approximately 80 nucleotides in length. Their secondary structure includes four short double-helical elements and three loops (D, anti-codon, and T loops). The record is from RNAcentral. Lineage: Bacteria; Pseudomonadati; Pseudomonadota; Gammaproteobacteria; Pseudothioglobaceae (SeqCode).
GGGGCUAUAGCUCAGUUGGGAGAGUACGACACUGGCAGUGUUGGGGUCAGCGGUUCGAUUCCGCUUAGCUCCACCA